GUGGAUAUAACUCAAUGGAUGAAGUACUUCCCAUGCAAGCAUGAAGACCUGGGUUCAAUUCCCAGCACCCACA
RNAcentral lists this transfer RNA (73 nucleotides) under Neotoma lepida (desert woodrat). It matches the Rfam family "tRNA". Rfam says of the family: Transfer RNA (tRNA) molecules are approximately 80 nucleotides in length. The record is from Rfam by way of RNAcentral. Lineage: Eukaryota; Metazoa; Chordata; Mammalia; Rodentia; Cricetidae.